Molecule: ribosomal RNA, 849 nt
Filed under: uncultured bacterium
Lineage: Bacteria
Description: bacterial SSU rRNA
Rfam family: Bacterial small subunit ribosomal RNA
Source: RNAcentral
CAGAACGAACGCUGGCGGCGUGGCUAAGACAUGCAAGUCGAACGGACCAGUAAUUUAUUAUUGGUCAGUGGCGAAAGGGUGAGUAAUGAAUAGGUAACGUACCCCGAGCUCUGGGAUAGCCAUCCGAAAGGAUGGGUAAUACCGGAUAACAUCACAGGUCGAUGGGCCUGUGCUCAAAGAUUUAUCGGCGCGGGAGCGGCCUAUUUCCUAUCAGCUAGUUGGUGAGGUAACGGCCCACCAAGGCGAAGACGGGUAGCGGGACUGAGAGGUUGGCCCGCCACAUCGGAACUGAGACACUGUCCGGACCCCCACGGGGGGCUGCAGUAACGAAUCUUGGGCAAUGGGCGAAAGCCUGACCCAGCGACGCCGCGUGCGGGAGGAAGUCCUUCGGGAUGUAAACCGCUGUCAGGGACGUGAAAGUCCACUUCGGUGGAUUGAUCUAACCCAGAGGAAGUCACGGCUAACUCUGUGCCAGCAGCCGCCGUAAGACAGAGGUGGCUAGCGUUGUUCGGUAUCACUGGGCUUAAAGCGUGUGUAGGCGGGAGCGUAAGCAUUUUGUGAAAUCCCCCGGCUCAACCGGGGCAUUGCUUGAUGUACUGCGUUCCUUGAGGCAAGUAGGGGUGCGAGGAACUCUUGGUGGAGCGGUGGAAUGCGUAGAUAUCAAGAGGAACGCCGAUGGUGAAGACAUCGCACUAGGCUUGUCCUGACGCUGAGACACGAAAGCGUGGGGAGCGAACGGGAUUAGAUACCCCGGUAGUCCACGCCGUAAACGAUGCUUACUAGGUUGUGGCGGUUCUGACGCCGGCACAGUCGAAGCUAAAGUGUUAAGUAAGCCGCCUGGGGAGUACG